RNAcentral lists this ribosomal RNA (253 nucleotides) under uncultured bacterium. Its description in RNAcentral is "partial 16S ribosomal RNA". It matches the Rfam family "Bacterial small subunit ribosomal RNA", at positions 524 to 776 of the family's 1533-position model. The record is from RNAcentral.
UACGUAGGGUGCGAGCGUUGUCCGGAAUUAUUGGGCGUAAAGGGCUCGUAGGCGGUUUGUCGCGUCGGGAGUGAAAAUCCAGGGCUUAACUCUGGACUGGCUUCCGAUACGGGCAGACUAGAGGUAUGCAGGGGAGAACGGAAUUCCUGGUGUAGCGGUGAAAUGCGCAGAUAUCAGGAGGAACACCGGUGGCGGAGGCGGUUCUCUGGGCAUUACCUGACGCUGAGGAGCGAAAGUGUGGGGAGCGAACAGG